RNAcentral lists this ribosomal RNA (372 nucleotides) under uncultured organism. RNAcentral describes it as "partial 16S ribosomal RNA". It matches the Rfam family "Bacterial small subunit ribosomal RNA", at positions 527 to 896 of the family's 1533-position model. The record is from RNAcentral.
GUAGGUGGCAAGCGUUGUCCGGAUUUAUUGGGCGUAAAGCGCGCGCAGGCGGUCCUUUAAGUCUGAUGUGAAAGCCCACGGCUCAACCGUGGAGGGUCAUUGGAAACUGGGGGACUUGAGUACAGAAGAGGAAAGCGGAAUUCCAAGUGUAGCGGUGAAAUGCGUAGAGAUUUGGAGGAACACCAGUGGCGAAGGCGGCUUUCUGGUCUGUAACUGACGCUGAGGCGCGAAAGCGUGGGGAGCAAACAGGGAUUAGAUACCCUGGUAGUCCACGCCGUAAACGAUGAGUGCUAAGUGUUAGGGGGUUUCCCGCCCCUUAGUGCUGCAGCUAACGCAUUAAGCACUCCGCCUGGGGAUACGGCCGCAAGGCUG